RNAcentral lists this transfer RNA (77 nucleotides) under Candidatus Omnitrophota bacterium. Its description in RNAcentral is "Candidatus Omnitrophica bacterium tRNA-Met". It matches the Rfam family "tRNA". From Rfam's summary of the family: Transfer RNA (tRNA) molecules are approximately 80 nucleotides in length. Their secondary structure includes four short double-helical elements and three loops (D, anti-codon, and T loops). Lineage: Bacteria; Pseudomonadati; Candidatus Omnitrophota. The record is from RNAcentral.
UGCGGGGUGGAGCAGUCUGGUAGCUCGUCGGGCUCAUAACCCGAAGGUCUUGGGUUCAAAUCCCAACCCCGCUACCA